RNAcentral lists this long non-coding RNA (1159 nucleotides) under Olea europaea (common olive). RNAcentral describes it as "long non-coding RNA (OEUR_LNC013141)". The record is from RNAcentral. Lineage: Eukaryota; Viridiplantae; Streptophyta; Magnoliopsida; Lamiales; Oleaceae.
UGCCAUACUACUGAUUUAUAAGAUCUUCAUUAUCAUCCCGUUCACACCAAAGUAAAGAAUCAUAAAUAAACAUACAGAAUCUCAAGUACAGUUUGAUUUUAGCUAUCUUUUCUUUCAAGAAAAUGUGAGUUUAAUCAGCAAGCUUGACUUCCAAUUACAAGUGGAAAAUGGACUUUAACAACGAAUAUCAGUUAUCACCAUGUUUAACCAGUCUUAAAUGAAGAAUCAACAUCCACUAAUCUGUGUUUCACGCAGAGUAAACAGAUCAUUCUUUAACAAGCAUAAAUUGUAAACAUAAUACUAGCUCCAUUACUGUAUAAAAUUACAAAACCACAUUCCUCACUGCAUGGACAAUGACAACCUUAAUAUUCCAUGAACAUAUAAUAAAGAUUAAAUGCACUGUUUCAUUGUGAUCAUAAGAAUAGAAUCUUACCCCAACUGACAGUACGUGUUACCAAUAUCAUAUUCUAUCAUUGCAAAAAAUGGCCAAAAUUAUUUUCACUUCUUAAAAUAAAUUCACAUUUAAUUAUAAUUACAUGACAGAAGUCUUUCUUUCUAACUGAGACCAACAUUCAAAACCCAAAAACUGUCCUAAAUUAUGAAUUGCCAGGAAACAAGAACAUUAAUUAACUUCAAAAGAUCAUCUCAUCUAAAAUGAUCAAAAGAAGAAUCCAAAAGACAAACCUUUCCUUCUUUCUUUCUUCAUAUACUCUAAAAUCAGCAUUUCGUCAGUGGCUUAAACAAACAAAAGCUCAAUCAAACGAAUUCCAUAAACCCCUAACACCCAAAUUUAUUUAAACUACAAUGGAACUCGCAAAACACCUUAAUCAAAUCAAAAUAAACACUAAUUAGAGAGUGAUUUAAUUAUGCCACAACCAAUCACGCCAUACCUGAAAUAAAGCACAAGAUUUACCCAAUCUGUACAGACAAUGAGUUGCGAUUGCGAAGUUCAGGUGUCAAAGAUUCAGUCUACGGUUCAAGAAAAGGAAAGCUAGGGUUUUACGAAGGAAAUCUUAAAUAAACAAUUAGAGAGAGAGAAUUGAGAAAUAAAAUAGAGGAAUUGAGAUUCAAAUUGAAAUUAGAGAAAUCUAGGGAUUAAAAUUGAGGGCGAAUCAAAAUUUAGCGAACUGUAGAUACAUGUCCGUUUGGGUACAUAUCG